AUUGAACGCUGGCGGCAUGCCUUACACAUGCAAGUCGAACGGCAGCACGGGAGCAAUCCUGGUGGCGAGUGGCGAACGGGUGAGUAAUGUAUUGGAACGUGCCCAGUCGUGGGGGAUAACGUAGCGAAAGCCACGCUAAUACCGCAUACGAUCUAUGGAUGAAAGCGGGGGAUCGCAAGACCUCGCGCGAUUGGAGCGGCCGAUAUCAGAUUAGGUAGUUGGUGGGGUAAAGGCUCACCAAGCCGACGAUCUCUAGCUGGUCUGAGAGGACGACAAGCCACACUGGGACUGAGACCGGGCCCAGAUUCCUACGGGAGGCAGCAGUGGGGAAUUUUGGACAAUGGGCGCAAGCCUGAUCCAGCAAUGCCGCGUGCAGGAUGAAGGCCUUCGGGUUGUAACCUGCUUUUGUACGGAACGAAACGGCGAGCUCUAAUACAGUUUGCUAAUGACGGUACCGUAAGAAUAAGCACCGGCUAACUACGUGCCGGCCGCCGCCGGUAA
This 501-nucleotide ribosomal RNA is filed under the name uncultured bacterium. RNAcentral's name for it is "partial 16S ribosomal RNA". It matches the Rfam family "Bacterial small subunit ribosomal RNA", at positions 30 to 523 of the family's 1533-position model. The record is from RNAcentral.